RNAcentral lists this transfer RNA (67 nucleotides) under Acidobacteriaceae bacterium. Its description in RNAcentral is "tRNA-Ser". Lineage: Bacteria; Pseudomonadati; Acidobacteriota; Terriglobia; Terriglobales; Acidobacteriaceae. The record is from RNAcentral.
GGCCUGCAGGUUCCAGAUCGCACUCCUAACGCGAAGGUCGCAGGUUGGACUCCUGCCCGGGCCACCA